UACGUAGGGGGCAAGCGUUAUCCGGAUUUACUGGGUGUAAAGGGAGCGUAGACGGCAUGGCAAGCCAGAUGUGAAAGCCCGGGGCUCAACCCCGGGACUGCAUUUGGAACUGUCAGGCUAGAGUGUCGGAGGGGAAAGCGGAAUUCCUAGUGUAGCGGUGAAAUGCGUAGAUAUUAGGAGGAACACCAGUGGCGAAGGCGGCUUUCUGGACGAUGACUGACGUUGAGGCUCGAAAGCGUGGGGAGCAAACAGG
RNAcentral lists this ribosomal RNA (253 nucleotides) under Mediterraneibacter gnavus ATCC 29149. RNAcentral describes it as "[Ruminococcus] gnavus ATCC 29149 partial 16S ribosomal RNA". It matches the Rfam family "Bacterial small subunit ribosomal RNA", at positions 524 to 776 of the family's 1533-position model. Lineage: Bacteria; Bacillati; Bacillota; Clostridia; Lachnospirales; Lachnospiraceae. The record is from RNAcentral.